Molecule: ribosomal RNA, 427 nt
Filed under: uncultured prokaryote
Description: bacterial SSU rRNA
Rfam family: Bacterial small subunit ribosomal RNA
Source: RNAcentral
UGGGGAAUUUUGGACAAUGGGCGCAAGCCUGAUCCAGCCAUGCCGCGUGAGUGAAGAAGGCCUUCGGGUUGUAAAGCUCUUUCGGUGGGGAAGAAAUAGCGUGGGUUAAUACCCUGCGUUGAUGACGGUACCCGCAUAAGAAGCACCGGCUAACUACGUGCCAGCAGCCGCGGUAAUACGUAGGGUGCGAGCGUUAAUCGGAAUUACUGGGCGUAAAGCGUGCGCAGGCGGUUGUAUAAGUCAGAUGUGAAAUCCCCGGGCUCAACCUGGGAACUGCAUUUGAGACUGUACGGCUAGAGUGUGGCAGAGGGGGGUGGAAUUCCACGUGUAGCAGUGAAAUGCGUAGAGAUGUGGAGGAACACCGAUGGCGAAGGCAGCCCCCUGGGCCAUUACUGACGCUCAUGCACGAAAGCGUGGGGAGCAAACA